RNAcentral lists this ribosomal RNA (547 nucleotides) under Pseudomonas oleovorans subsp. oleovorans. RNAcentral describes it as "bacterial SSU rRNA". It matches the Rfam family "Bacterial small subunit ribosomal RNA", at positions 62 to 604 of the family's 1533-position model. Lineage: Bacteria; Pseudomonadati; Pseudomonadota; Gammaproteobacteria; Pseudomonadales; Pseudomonadaceae. The record is from RNAcentral.
UCGAGCGGAUGACGGGAGCUUGCUCCCUGAUUUAGCGGGGGACGGGAGAGUAAUGCCUAGGAAUCUGCCUGGUAGUGGGGGAUAACGUUCCGAAAGGAACGCUAAUACCGCGUACGUCCUACGGGAGAAAGCAGGGGACCUUCGGGCCUUGCGCUAUCAGAUGAGCCUAGGUCGGAUUAGCUAGUUGGUGAGGUAAUGGCUCACCAAGGCGACGAUCCGUAACUGGUCUGAGAGGAUGAUCAGUCACACUGGAACUGAGACACGGUCCAGACUCCUACGGGAGGCAGCAGCGGGGAAUAUUGGACAAUGGGCGAAAGCCUGAUCCAGCCAUGCCGCGUGUGUGAAGAAGGUCUUCGGAUUGUAAAGCACUUUAAGUUGGGAGGAAGGGCAGUAAGUUAAUACCUUGCUGUUUUGACGUUACCGACAGAAUAAGCACCGGCUAACUUCGUGCCAGCAGCCGCGGUAAUACGAAGGGUGCAAGCGUUAAUCGGAAUUACUGGGCGUAAAGCGCGCGUAGGUGGGUCAUUAAGUUGGAUGUGAAAUCCCC